Molecule: unclassified non-coding RNA, 520 nt
Filed under: uncultured Glomus
Lineage: Eukaryota; Fungi; Glomeromycota; Glomeromycetes; Glomerales; Glomeraceae
Description: SSU rRNA
Rfam family: Eukaryotic small subunit ribosomal RNA
Source: RNAcentral
AGCAGCCGCGGUAAUUCCAGCUCCAAUAGCGUAUAUUAAAGUUGUUGCAGUUAAAAAGCUCGUAGUUGAAUUUCGGGAUCAAUAUGUUGGUCGUGCCUUGGUACGUACUGGCAUUAUUGGUUUCUACCUUCUGAAGAACCUCGAUGUCAUUAAUUUGGUGUCUUGGGGAAUCAGGACUGUUACUUUGAAAAAAUUAGAGUGUUUAAAGCAGGCUCGCGCUUGAAUACAUUAGCAUGGAAUAAUGAAAUAGGACGUUUGAUUCUAUUUUGUUGGUUUCUAGGAUCGACGUAAUGAUUAAUAGGGAUAGUUGGGGGCAUUAGUAUUCAAUUGUCAGAGGUGAAAUUCUUGGAUUUAUUGAAGACUAACUACUGCGAAAGCAUUUGCCAAGGAUGUUUUCAUUAAUCAAGAACGAAAGUUAGGGGAUCGAAGACGAUCAGAUACCGUCGUAGUCUUAACCAUAAACUAUGCCGACUAGGGAUCGGAUGAUGUUAAUUUUUUAAUGUACUCAUUCGGCGCCUUA